GACGAACGCUGGCGGCGUGCCUAAUACAUGCGAGUAGAACGCUGAAGGAGGAGCUUGCUUCUCUGGAUGAGUUGCGAACGGGUGAGUAACGCGUAGGUAACCUGCCUGGUAGCGGGGGAUAACUAUUGGAAACGAUAGCUAAUACCGCAUAAGAGUAGAUGUUGCAUGACAUUUACUUAAAAGGUGCAAUUGCAUCACUACCAGAUGGACCUGCGUUGUAUUAGCUAGUUGGUGAGGUAACGGCUCACCAAGGCAACGAUACAUAGCCGACCUGAGAGGGUGAUCGGCCACACUGGGACUGAGAGACGGCCCAGACACCUACGGGAGGCAGCAGUAGGGAAUCUUCGGCAAUGGACGGAAGUCUGACCGAGCAACGCCGCGUGAGGGAAGAAGGUUUUCGGAUCGUAAAGCUCUGUUGUAAGAGAAGAACGAGGGUGAGAGUGGAAAGUUCACACUGUGACGGUAUCUUACCAGAAAGGGACGGCUAACUACGUG
This 495-nucleotide ribosomal RNA is filed under the name uncultured bacterium. RNAcentral describes it as "partial 16S ribosomal RNA". It matches the Rfam family "Bacterial small subunit ribosomal RNA", at positions 28 to 507 of the family's 1533-position model. The record is from RNAcentral.